Molecule: long non-coding RNA, 385 nt
Filed under: Callithrix jacchus (white-tufted-ear marmoset)
Lineage: Eukaryota; Metazoa; Chordata; Mammalia; Primates; Cebidae
Description: lncRNA (ENSCJAG00000054334.2)
Source: RNAcentral
AGAGACAAGGUUUCACCAUGUUGCCGGAGUUGAUCUUGAACUCCUGGGCUUAAGCCGCCUCAACUUCUCAAGGUUUUGGAAUUACAGGUGUGAGCCCCUGUGCCUGGCCUGAAGCAACAGAAAAAAAAUUGUCAGCACUGUUCCAAUGGGCUUCUUCCACAACCAAGCAUGCUGACUACACAGGAAGCACUUGACUCAGAACUUAAAUAUUACCAUGAUGACUUCAGCAGGGAAAAAUGAGAUUAAUUUGAGUUCCAUGUCAUUAUUUUUCGGUCCUCUAUGACCACCCAGAUGUUUGAAAUUGAUCAUCACUGACAGUUUCAACAUUUGGUCUAGCAAUUCCUUAGAAAUCCAAGGUAUGCUGACAAAAUCUAGUUUCCUGAAU